GCUUCCGGCUGAUGCUGAUGAUCAGACUAUAGCGUGUCACGCACGUGCCCACAUGCUGCGAUUGAUAUGUGGGAUGCUGUUCUGCAACCUAUCGGGGAGUUACGCACACUUGAUGUUCCUUCCACUGCUCGCGGAGCGAGCAGAGAUACGCCAUUAUAGUUGGGGUGCUACAACGUUAGCUUGGCUGUACCAGGAGAUGUGCCGCGCCGCUAACGUGUCGCACUCACAGAUCGGAGGAGCACUCCGCUUAUUGCAGGUUUGGGCGUGGGAGAGAUUCACGUCGUUAGCUCCUACGCACCGCGGUGUCCGAUAUCUUAUUCAGAGGGAUGAGGACGGACGACCGAUUGACCCAGCUCCACUCGCGUGGAGGUGGAGGGAUCAGUUGUUGGUGCCUAAUGUUGCGCAACACACACUGUCCUGGUACAGAUUCAAGCUGGACAUGCACCGGGAGCACGAGCUACUCUUCGUUAUGUGUAUUUAGGGCUAUUUCAAGAUUUUCAUAUAUUCCCGUCCCACCUCUGACAUUUACUAUAUGUCUACGCGUAGUUCGUAUGGGCGCCCUACACGGAUGACAUUGUUGCCGACCUACCACCUGGUUAUGCAGUUGGGUCGGACCUCUGGGUUGCCUGAGUGCCACUCAUAUGUUUUCAUAUUGUCGAGUGGCAUCUCCCAGAUCGAGUGAUGCGCUAGUUUGGCUUUCGAUAGGGCAUUCCCGGUCGCUUCUGUACCUUGGGGGUCGAUGUACAUGGGGAGGACUUGCACGAGAUUGAUGGUCGCGGUCGGGGGAACACAGAUUGGGCAGCGGAGCACGCCAUGUACGUGAGUAUGUGGGUACAUAGGCGCGACUACAUUGUCGAGGGAGUCCGGGCAAAUGGCCCGAUGCGUCCGGAGGAUCCAUAUUACCCGUGGUACAGGUCGAUCACACGUCGCUUCGUAGAUAGGACUGCGGCGGUCUACAUGAGCCUCGCUGACGUAUUACACUAGGUGGACUCGCUAUCAUCAGACCCCGUUGUGAGCGAUUUAGCGAGAGUUGGUUUGGACAUUGUCUACGAGGACGGGCGACGGAUCCCUACGCCACGCCGGACGCCGGCCCCACGAGGUGGUCGAGCAGCUCCAGUACGAGGGGGUCGAGCAACUACCUCCAGCCGUCCAUCGAGUCCGACCUUCUCACCGCCCAUUGUACAUGAGGAGUAUAUGUUUGGGCCGUCCGCUGCUGAUUUUGCGGGACCCCCCAGUAGACCGGCGGAUUAUCGAUCUGACUCUGCCGCGACGCCAUCGAUGUCGUACUUACUAGACGACCCUCUCGAUGCGGAGGAGGUGGACGCACCCGGCUUGCCAGCUCGAACUCAUCCAGAGACUACAUACGACAUAGCUCCCCGUCGGCUUCACCUAAAGAGGGAUUAUCCAGUACGUAUGGGCAGAGACGACAGACAUGUAGCCCCUCGACGUGACCGGACGCCAGACGCGGAGGAGCAGCCAGGUGAGGGCAGACACAGACGGCAGCCACCCCGACACCGGAGACGACCUCCAUGCGGUACCGAGUAGCCCAUAUAUGUAGUUGUUAAUUAGUUCAUAAUUUGAUUUGUACAUCAGAUAUAUGUUUACAGCUUCAUUUGUACAUAAUGUAUUUAUUCAUGAUUCAUUUGGGCAUAAUGUAUUUAGUAAUGACUUCAUUUGUACAGCAUCUAUUUGUAUAGAAUAUAUCAUUUCUCCUUUAUUUCAACUUGUUUGGAGUAUCAUUUGUACAUAAUGUAAUUGUUUGGAGUAUCAUUUGUACAUAAUGUAAUU
Long non-coding RNA from Malania oleifera, 1788 nucleotides. RefSeq lists it as uncharacterized. The record is from RefSeq and is a predicted model, not a curated record. The transcript is spliced from 3 exons. Lineage: Eukaryota; Viridiplantae; Streptophyta; Magnoliopsida; Santalales; Ximeniaceae.